Molecule: microRNA precursor, 103 nt
Filed under: Marmota monax (woodchuck)
Lineage: Eukaryota; Metazoa; Chordata; Mammalia; Rodentia; Sciuridae
Source: RNAcentral
AGUGGAAUAGUUGGGUCAAAUGGUGGUUCCUUUCCAGAUUUUCUAAGGAAUCUCCAUAUUGCUUUCCAGAUUGGUUGUACAAAUUUACAGUCCUACCAGCAAU